RNAcentral lists this ribosomal RNA (497 nucleotides) under uncultured bacterium. RNAcentral describes it as "partial 16S ribosomal RNA". It matches the Rfam family "Bacterial small subunit ribosomal RNA", at positions 28 to 507 of the family's 1533-position model. The record is from RNAcentral.
GAUGAACGCUGGCGGCGUGCCUAAUACAUGCAAGUCGAGCGAACAGACGAGGAGCUUGCUCCUCUGACGUUAGCGGCGGACGGGUGAGUAACACGUGGAUAACCUACCUAUAAGACUGGGAUAACUUCGGGAAACCGGAGCUAAUACCGGAUAAUAUAUUGAACCGCAUGGUUCAAUAGUGAAAGACGGUUUUGCUGUCACUUAUAGAUGGAUCCGCGCCGCAUUAGCUAGUUGGUAAGGUAACGGCUUACCAAGGCAACGAUGCGUAGCCGACCUGAGAGGGUGAUCGGCCACACUGGAACUGAGACACGGUCCAGACUCCUACGGGAGGCAGCAGUAGGGAAUCUUCCGCAAUGGGAGAAAGCCUGACGGAGCAACGCCGCGUGAGUGAUGAAGGUCUUCGGAUCGUAAAACUCUGUUAUUGGGGAAGAACAAAUGUGUAAGUAACUAUGCACGUCUUGACGGUACCUAAUCAGAAAGCCACGGCUAACUACGUG